Podarcis lilfordi (Lilford's wall lizard) is the source of this 132-nucleotide non-coding RNA. NCBI's taxonomy places the organism in Eukaryota, Metazoa, Chordata, Lepidosauria, Squamata, Lacertidae. The record is from the annotation of a GenBank genome assembly.
AUCUGUCUUAAUGCAGAAGUGGUUGCUGCUAUGUUUUGUAGCAUUUUAAAUAGUACUUAAAACAAAGUAAGUAUAAAUACAAUUUAAAAUGCUACAAAACAUAGCAGCAAUUGCUUCUGCAUUAAAACAGAU